UAUGGGUGCCUAAUGGUUAGAGCGUCCGCCUCGGAUGCGGGAGGUCGAAGGUUCGAAUCCCAGAAGAGUCAUAA
Molecule: non-coding RNA, 74 nt
Organism: Potamilus streckersoni
Lineage: Eukaryota; Metazoa; Mollusca; Bivalvia; Unionida; Unionidae
Source: the annotation of a GenBank genome assembly